This 455-nucleotide ribosomal RNA is filed under the name uncultured archaeon. RNAcentral's name for it is "bacterial SSU rRNA". It matches the Rfam family "Archaeal small subunit ribosomal RNA", at positions 880 to 1335 of the family's 1478-position model. The record is from RNAcentral.
CGCAACGGGAGGAGCGUGCGGUUCAAUUGGAUUCAACGCCGGAAAACUCACCGGGGGCGACGGAGGGAUGAAAGCCAGGCUGGAGACCUUGCCCGAUUCUCCGAGAGGUGGUGCAUGGCCGUCGUCAGUUCGUACCGUAAGGCGUUCUGUUAAGUCAGAUAACGAACGAGACCCUCGCCUUCAGUCGCGAUUUCGUGAGCGAUCACGAGAGCACACUAAAGGGAUCGCUGCCGCUAAGGCAGAGGAAGGAGAGGUCUACGGUAGGUCCGUAUGCCCCGAAUCUCCCGGGCAACACGCGCGCUACAAAGGUUGGGACAAUGGGAUCCGACGCCGAAAGGCGGAGGCAAUCCUGAAGCCCAAUCGUAGUCUGGAUUGAGGGCUGUAACUCGCCCUCAUGAAAAUGGAUUCCGUAGUAAUCGCGGGUCANCNUCCCGCGGUGAAUGUGCCCCUGCUCU